This 222-nucleotide long non-coding RNA is filed under the name Musa acuminata (dwarf banana). RNAcentral's name for it is "long non-coding RNA (MACU_LNC002675)". The record is from RNAcentral. Lineage: Eukaryota; Viridiplantae; Streptophyta; Magnoliopsida; Zingiberales; Musaceae.
UGUUAUAUAACAAUCCAUACUGGUAUGAUAAGAAGAUAUCCAAUCCAUACCAAGUAUAAUAUCAAAACUCUAAAUCUCUAGGAGAACUAAAUCAGUAAAAAGUUCAAGUUCUCCAAUAAAAAUCAGACAAGAGGACCAGAUUCAAGUUCGUUAUCAAAGAAUCUCCAAUGAUCGUAUUUACAUAUAGCACAUAAUGCAGUGGUCUAGGUUGAAUACCCAAGU